AACGAACGCUGGCGGCAUGCCUAACACAUGCAAGUCGAACGAGACCUUCGGGUCUAGUGGCGCACGGGUGCGUAACACGUGGGAAUCUGCCCUUUGCUUCGGAAUAACAGUUAGAAAUGACUGCUAAUACCGGAUGAUGUCGAAAGACCAAAGAUUUAUCGGCAAAGGAUGAGCCCGCGUAGGAUUAGGUAGUUGGUGGGGUAAAGGCCUACCAAGCCGACGACCCUUAGCUGGUCUGAGAGGAUGAUCAGCCACACUGGGACUGAGACACGGCCCAGACUCCUACGGGAGGCAGCAGUGGGGAAUAUUGGACAAUGGGCGAAAGCCUGAUCCAGCAAUGCCGCGUGAGUGAUGAAGGCCUUAGGGUUGUAAAGCUCUUUUACCAGGGAUGAUAAUGACAGUACCUGGAGAAUAAGCUCCGGCUAACUCCGUG
RNAcentral lists this ribosomal RNA (433 nucleotides) under uncultured bacterium. RNAcentral's name for it is "partial 16S ribosomal RNA". It matches the Rfam family "Bacterial small subunit ribosomal RNA", at positions 29 to 507 of the family's 1533-position model. The record is from RNAcentral.